This 305-nucleotide ribosomal RNA is filed under the name uncultured bacterium. Its description in RNAcentral is "bacterial SSU rRNA". It matches the Rfam family "Bacterial small subunit ribosomal RNA", at positions 337 to 634 of the family's 1533-position model. The record is from RNAcentral.
GCCUACGGGGGGCAGCAGUGGGGAAUAUUGCGCAAUGGGCGAAAGCCUGACGCAGCGACGCCGCGUGAGGGAUGAAGGUCUUCGGAUCGUAAACCUCUGUCAGCAGGGAAGGACGGUCACUGUGCUAAUCAGCAGUGAAUUGACGGUACCUGCAAAGGAAGCACCGGCUAACUCCGUGCCAGCAGCCGCGGUAAUACGGAGGGUGCGAGCGUUAAUCGGAAUUACUGGGCGUAAAGCGCUCGUAGGCGGUAUGUCAAGUCAAGGGUGAAAUCACCGCGCUCAACGUGGGAACUGCCUUUGAAACU